Molecule: transfer RNA, 74 nt
Filed under: Paraplanobispora siamensis
Lineage: Bacteria; Bacillati; Actinomycetota; Actinomycetes; Streptosporangiales; Streptosporangiaceae
Description: Planobispora siamensis tRNA-Thr
Rfam family: tRNA
About the family: Transfer RNA (tRNA) molecules are approximately 80 nucleotides in length. Their secondary structure includes four short double-helical elements and three loops (D, anti-codon, and T loops). Further hydrogen bonds mediate the characteristic L-shaped molecular structure. tRNAs have two regions of fundamental functional importance: the anti-codon, which is responsible for specific mRNA codon recognition, and the 3' end, to which the tRNAs corresponding amino acid is attached (by aminoacyl-tRNA synthetases). tRNAs cope with the degeneracy of the genetic code in two manners: having more than one tRNA (with a specific anti-codon) for a particular amino acid; and 'wobble' base-pairing, i.e. permitting non-standard base-pairing at the 3rd anti-codon position.
Source: RNAcentral
GCCCCUGAAGCUCAGCAGGCAGAGCGCCCGUUUCGUAAUCGGGAGGCCGCCGGUUCGAUCCCGGCCGGGGGCUC